Molecule: ribosomal RNA, 412 nt
Filed under: uncultured bacterium
Lineage: Bacteria
Description: partial 16S ribosomal RNA
Rfam family: Bacterial small subunit ribosomal RNA
Source: RNAcentral
AAUAUUUCACAAUGGAGGGAACUCUGAUGCAGCAACGCCGCGUGAGUGAAGAAGGUUUUCUGAUCGUAAAGCUCUGUCCUUGGGGAAGAAGGGAGCCGUAAGGCUUCUUUACGGUACCCAUGGAGGAAGCCCCGGCUAACUCCGAGCCAGCAGCCGCGGUAAUACGUAGGGGUCAAGCGUUGGCCGGAAUUAUUGGGCGUACAGGGUGCGUAGGCGGCCCUUUAAGUCAGAUGUGAAAGCCCACGGCUUAACCGUGGGACUGCAUUUGAAACUGGAGGGCUUGAGUGUCGGAGAGGGCAGUGGAAUUCCAAGUGUAGCGGUGGAAUGCGUAGAUAUUGGGAGGAACACCAGUGGCGAAGGCGACUGCCUGACGAUAACUGACGCUGAGGCACGAAAGCUAGGGGAGCAAACA